AGCUCACAGGUGUCAUCUGAGAUCUUCCAGGAUGUCUAGAUGCAGCUGGUAAACGUGACAUAGGACCUGUAGCAGAUCUGUUCACUUCAGGAACUUGUAGGGGAGGCUGUCUAAGGUAUUCUGCUGGACUUGCUUCUCUCCAGUUCUGGUUUUUGAUUCUGCUAGCAGCUUGCAGGUGUCUGUCCUUCAUAGCCAGUGUUUGCUUUCAGGUCCCCAUAAGUGAGGAAAAUGGAACUACCCUAUGAAACAAAACCUUUUGAAACUGGCAAACAACAGACAGUAAUUUCUUGACAGGCAAAAGAGCAGUAUCAAACUUGAAUAAAUCAACUGUGGAUGCCCCUUUUUUGAAUAAG
This 353-nucleotide long non-coding RNA is filed under the name Parus major (Great Tit). Its description in RNAcentral is "lncRNA (ENSPMJG00000001347.1)". Lineage: Eukaryota; Metazoa; Chordata; Aves; Passeriformes; Paridae. The record is from RNAcentral.